GUGGGGAAUCUUGCGCAAUGGGCGAAAGCCUGACGCAGCCAUGCCGCGUGAAUGAUGAAGGUCUUAGGAUUGUAAAAUUCUUUCACCGGGGACGAUAAUGACGGUACCCGGAGAAGAAGCCCCGGCUAACUUCGUGCCAGCAGCCGCGGUAAUACGAAGGGGGCUAGCGUUGCUCGGAAUUACUGGGCGUAAAGGGCGCGUAGGCGGAUCGUUAAGUCAGGGGUGAAAUCCCAGAGCUCAACUCUGGAACUGCCCUUGAUACUGGCGAUCUUGAGUGUGAGAGAGGUAUGGGGAACUCCGAGUGUAGAGGUGAAAUUCGUAGAUAUUCGGAAGAACACCAGUGGCGAAGGCGACAUACUGGCUCAUUACUGACGCUGAGGCGCGAAAGCGUGGGGAGCAAACAGGAUUAGAAACCCCAGUAGUCC
RNAcentral lists this ribosomal RNA (425 nucleotides) under uncultured bacterium. RNAcentral's name for it is "partial 16S ribosomal RNA". It matches the Rfam family "Bacterial small subunit ribosomal RNA", at positions 354 to 796 of the family's 1533-position model. The record is from RNAcentral.